RNAcentral lists this ribosomal RNA (403 nucleotides) under Leclercia sp. COS212. RNAcentral's name for it is "bacterial SSU rRNA". It matches the Rfam family "Bacterial small subunit ribosomal RNA", at positions 991 to 1386 of the family's 1533-position model. Lineage: Bacteria; Pseudomonadati; Pseudomonadota; Gammaproteobacteria; Enterobacterales; Enterobacteriaceae. The record is from RNAcentral.
GAGACUUUGCAGAGAUGCUUUGGUGCCUUCGGGAACUCUGAGACAGGUGCUGCAUGGCUGUCGUCAGCUCGUGUUGUGAAAUGUUGGGUUAAGUCCCGCAACGAGCGCAACCCUUAUCCUUUGUUGCCAGCGGUUAGGCCGGGAACUCAAAGGAGACUGCCAGUGAUAAACUGGAGGAAGGUGGGGAUGACGUCAAGUCAUCAUGGCCCUUACGAGUAGGGCUACACACGUGCUACAAUGGCGCAUACAAAGAGAAGCGACCUCGCGAGAGCAAGCGGACCUCAUAAAGUGCGUCGUAGUCCGGAUUGGAGUCUGCAACUCGACUCCAUGAAGUCGGAAUCGCUAGUAAUCGUAGAUCAGAAUGCUACGGUGAAUACGUUCCCGGGUCUUGUACCACACCGAA